This 468-nucleotide ribosomal RNA is filed under the name uncultured bacterium. Its description in RNAcentral is "partial 16S ribosomal RNA". It matches the Rfam family "Bacterial small subunit ribosomal RNA", at positions 28 to 507 of the family's 1533-position model. The record is from RNAcentral.
GACGAACGCUGGCGGCGUGCUUAACACAUGCAAGUCGAACGGAAAGGCCCUGCUUUUGUGGGGUGCUCGAGUGGCGAACGGGUGAGUAACACGUGAGUAACCUGCCCUUGACUUUGGGAUAACUUCAGGAAACUGGGGCUAAUACCGGAAAGGAUCUCCUGCUGCAUGGUGGGGGUUGGAAAGUUUCGGCGGUUGGGGGUGGACUCGCGGCUUAUCAGCUUGUUGGUGGGGUAGUGGCUUACCAAGGCUUUGACGGGUGGCCGGCCUGCGAGGGUGACAGGCCCCAUUGGGACUGAGAUACGGCCCAGACUCCUCCGGGAGGCAGCAGUGGGGUAUAUUGCACAAGGGGCGGAGGCCUGAUGCAGCAACGCCGCGUGCGGGAUGACGUCCUUCGGGUUGUAAUCCGCUUUCGCCUGUGACGAAGCGUUAGUGACGGUAAUGGGUAAAGAAGCACCGGCUAACUACGUG